ACAUAAAUCUCUACCCUUCAUUCUACUAUGGCAUUUUUGUAAAUAUUUGAUCCAUCCAAGGGUUAUCAUAAAUGGCAUUUUGGUAAAACUAGGAUUAGAUUUCCAAAAUUUGAAACGUAGAAACGCAGACAUUCUGUGAAACCCUAACCGUAUUCCCAUACCUCACCCUCCUUCUGUCUCCCUCUCUUCGAUCGCUCUCCUAGCUCCACUGAUUGGCGCGGCGAGCCACCACCGACCGGCGCGCGAUCAAGAGCAGCAUCACCUUCCUCGACACCUUCGAUUGCUACAGUCCAGACACCAAUGAAGUACUCCUCCGUAAGCUCUUAUUUUUCCGACUGCCUCUUCUACCACCAUGUAUUCAAGUAAGCCAAAAUAUUCCCAAACCGGAAAGAGCAAAUCCACCCACGCAUUAUUUUCGAGUUCAAUUGAUCUAAGAGUAAUGGGUUUUCAAAGGGAACGAAGGGUUGACAAAAGCGUCGGCGGUCAACAUCAGAACUUCAGGUUGGCAUUCCGCCGACAAAAGGGGAAGCGACUUUUUAACACACGUCUCCCCCAUCCUCCACCCACACCACCGCUCACCUUGCCCCUGAUCAAAGACAAAGAACCUCCCCUUGCAGCAGUAGGCCCGUCCACCGAUGACCACCAACAUCAUCCCAUCACCACCAUGGAGUGAUUCGGCCCCUCUUCUUUUCUGUCCUCCAUCUCCUCUAGUGAAAUCACGGCAACGAUAACAACCAGGGAUGUGGAGAUAUGGAAGGUUUCGAAUGGGGAAGGCAUGUAUGGGUAUAUUGGCUAUGAGGCUGCCCUUUUUGAUGGCACUUAAAAAAUGCUUUUUGAAAAACUGGUGAUUUUACAUUCCAAUAAUUGCAUAUUGUGGUUCAACGUGAAAUUGAGUACUUGCAAUGCUCCAAGGGUAAUCAAGAAGCUGUUGGCUUUGGUGGUGUGCUUAUGGAUGACAAAGGAGCAUGGAAUUCAGGAGUGCAUCCUCGGACAAGGAGAGACUCAAGUAGAAAUGGAGAUGGAUUUGCUGCAAGUAGUGAAUCUAACCAAAGAAAAUCCAGCUCCUCAUCGCCCUCAUAGGAAUCUGAUUGAGAAUUGUCAGAUUUGUAGUAAGAGCUCUAUGAAUCACACUCCACAAGAGGGGCAAAUUAAUUAAGUGACUGAUGUUCUGGAUUAUGUUGGCGAGACUCAAUGGUGGUGUUAAUAUGAAACACUCAAUUGUGAUUUCCAAAAGGGAAAUCUUCUUGCAGCUAACAUUGUAGCGGCUGAAUGUGAGAGGCAAUGCGGCCUUUAUGCGGUUCCUGUCAU
Molecule: RNA transcript, 1308 nt
Organism: Rhododendron vialii
Lineage: Eukaryota; Viridiplantae; Streptophyta; Magnoliopsida; Ericales; Ericaceae
Exons: 5
Source: RefSeq, a predicted model, not a curated record